Long non-coding RNA from Conger conger (European conger), 969 nucleotides. RefSeq lists it as uncharacterized. The record is from RefSeq and is a predicted model, not a curated record. The transcript is spliced from 3 exons. NCBI's taxonomy places the organism in Eukaryota, Metazoa, Chordata, Actinopteri, Anguilliformes, Congridae.
GGUCCCCCGCCCAAUGCAAUUGGAUGUGGCAGCAGAACAUGUGGGUGCGUGACAACAGGUUUACUAUUUAGUUUUACUAUUUGCUUGUUUGUCCGCGGAAAGUUGGAGAGCGAACUGGUAAGAGUAUUGAGGCACAUGUAGGGCGAGUUUGCAGCUGGAAAUUCUAUAAUUUGGAGGAACCGCGAACCAUGCUGACAUUUUCUAUGGCAAGCGAGUACCCAGCUAAGUAGGUUUUUUUUUUUUUUUUCAAUUUCCAGAACGGGAAGGGUUUUUGAGACUGUGCAGCGAGUGAGUGCAAGUUCGACCGGACAGGCUGUACUUGAAACCUGGAGAGAAACUAGGCCUACAUUGGAUGUACUCAUCCAUUUCCCAAAGGAAAUAGUUUUUAACACGCAAAACUCCAUUCUCCUCCACAAUAAUUACAUUCUCUGCAAAAGUCGUGAGUACGCUAACCACUGAGCUCCAACGGAAUAAGCGCGCCAAGGGGAACCGACCUGGCACUUCCUUUACACAGCUAUUAAUGAAGAGCUCUCCAGCUAAAUACAUCUUUAUUCUGCCAUUAACUGCAGAGCCUGAAGUAGGCAGUGAAGAGGGAGGGAGUCCUGAAGCCCUUCAAAGUCAAGGCAUUUAACGCCACUCUCACAUCAAUCAGACCCUCUGUCCAAGAUGAAAAUGAGGAACAACCUGGGGUGCAAUUAAAGAGGGGGCUGAGGAGGCCAUGCUAUCUCCGGCUCUGAGAGGAGGAGUGAACACGCCAAGAGAGCCAGGCACAGCCAGAAGAAAGGGAAUGAACUUUUUGACACUGUCUGGAGGGCUAUUAGCGUCUCUUGUCCUCUCUCCAAGCAGCCUUCAGAUGUCAAGCCGACGCUUUUUUCGGUAAUUUGUAUGUACACAGAAUGAUACAUUACAUGUCAUCAGGCAGAAGAAAGCAAUGGCUCUGACUGCCCGCUAUGUGAUGGGAUCUGUAUG